Molecule: unclassified non-coding RNA, 248 nt
Filed under: Hevea brasiliensis (rubber tree)
Lineage: Eukaryota; Viridiplantae; Streptophyta; Magnoliopsida; Malpighiales; Euphorbiaceae
Source: RNAcentral
CUAAAGGAAUUGUAUAGAUCUUAUUAUCAUUAUUUUUUUAAUAUUUUUCUUUGUGUAGUUUAAUGAUGAUAUAUGUAUUUAUUAUUGGGUCUGGUCUUGUUCUUCUCUCUUUGUUAAAAAGAGAAGUUCCUGAUCCUUGUAUUUUGUACCCUCUCAUAGUCAUAGGGUUGUAUUAACUGUAAGCCAUGAGAAAGCUCAAUCUAUUACUUCUGGUUGAGUAAACAACUUGGGAUCAUAAUGAAAUAGUG